Molecule: ribosomal RNA, 1847 nt
Filed under: metagenome
Description: bacterial LSU rRNA
Rfam family: Bacterial large subunit ribosomal RNA
Source: RNAcentral
UCAAGCUACCAAGGGCACAUGGUGGAUGUCUUGGCGUCGAGAGGCGAUGAAGGACGUUGGAACCUGCGAUAAGCCCAGGGGAGCUGGUAACCGAGCUUUGAUCCUGGGAUUUCCGAAUGGGGAAACCCGGCCCGUAAGGGUCAUCCGUGUCUGAAUGCAUAGGACACGGAGGCGAACCCGGUGAACUGAAACAUCUCAGUAACCGGAGGAAAGGAAAGCAACCGCGACUCCGUAAGUAGCGCCGAGCGAAAGCGGAUCAGCCGAAUUGCAUCGUGAACAGUCUGUGAAAGGCUGACCACAGAAGGUGAUAGUCCUGUAGUGGUGUUUAUUUCGGCAUGGCCUCGAGUAGGUCCGGGCUCGUGGAACCCGGUCUGAACAUGGGGGGACCACCCUCCAAGCCUAAGUACUCCUCGACGACCGAUAGUGAACCAGUAACGCGAGUGAACGAUGAAAAGCACCCCGACAAGGGGAGUGAAAAGUACCUGAAACCAUGUGCUUACAAGCGGUCGGAGCCCUUCGGGGUGACGGCGUGCCUUUUGCAUAAUGAGCCUGCGAGUUACUCUCUGCUGCAAGGCUAAGCUGAAUCCCAGCGGAGCCGAAGGGAAACCGAGUCUUAAAAGGGCGUCGAGUAGCAGGGAGUAGACGCGAAACCCGUUGAUCUACCCAUGGGCAGGUUGAAGAGAGGGUAAAACCUCUUGGAGGACCGAAGCCUUGAACGUUGAAAAGUUCUGGCAUGACCUGUGGGGAGGAGUUAAAGUCUAAUCAUAACGGGAGAUAUCUCGUUCUCUCCGAAAUAGUUUUUGGACUAGCCUCAGGUGAUACCCUGCGGGGGUAGAGCGACUGGAUGGGGCUGGGGGGCCACAAGCCUACCCACCUCAACCAAACUCCGAAUACCGCAGUGGCGUAUCCUGGGAGUAAGACUACGGGGGAUAAUCUCCGUGGUCAAAAGGGAAACAGCCCAGACCGCCGGCUAAGGCCCCUAAAUGUGUCUAAGUUGAAAAGGUAGUCAGAUUGCGAUGACAGCCAGGAUGUUGGCUUAGAAGCAGCCACCAUUUAAAAAGUGCGUAACAGCUUACUGGUCGAGGAAUUUGGCGCCGAUAAUGAUCGGGGAUAAGACACAUGCCGAAGCCGCGGGCGACUUAUGUCGCGGUAGGAGAGCGUAGCUGUCAGCGUCGAAGCUUGCCCGAGAGGGCAGGUGGAGCGGCAGCUAGUGAAUAUGCAGGCUUGAGUAACGAUAAACGGAGUGAGAAUCUCCGUCGCCGAAAACCUAAGGUUUCCUGGGGAAGGUAAUUCCGCCCAGGGUUAGGCGGUACCUAAGGCGAGGCCGAAAGGCGUAGUCGAUGGACAGCAGGUUAAUAUUCCUGCCCUUCCAUGUGAGGUUGAUCCAGCGUGACGGAUCGUGAAGUUCGACGGCACAGUGAAGCGUGCAAGCCUUCGGGCUGAUGUCGGGUGGAUCGGUUCCAAGAAAAGCCGUCUGGUGACGAUCAUGGAAGCCGUACUAAAACUGACACAGGUAGGUGUGGCGAAAAGCCUCAGGCGCUCGAGAUAAUGGUCGUGAAGGAACUAGGCAAAUUGACCCCGUACGUUCGCAAUAAGGGGGCCCUCCUCGCAAGAGAGGGCGCAGAGAAGAGGCUCUGGGGACUGUUUAUCAAAAACACAGCACUGUGCUAACUCGCAAGAGGACGUAUACAGUGUGACGCCUGCCCGGUGCCGGAAGGUCAAGGGAGUCGGUUAGCUUCGGCGAAGCUGACGACCGAAGCCCCGGUAAACGGCGGCCGUAACUAUGACGGUCCUAAGGUAGCGAAAUUCCUUGUCGGGUAAGUUCCGACGCGCAUGAAUGGCGUAAC